CACGUAGGGCGCAAGCGUUGUCCGGAAUUAUUGGGCGUAAAGAGCUCGUAGGCGGCGCGGUAAGUCGGGUGUGAAAUCUCGGAGCUUAACUCCGAAACUGCAUUCGAUACUGCCGUGCUUGAGGACUGGAGAGGAGACUGGAAUUUACGGUGUAGCGGUGAAAUGCGUAGAUAUCGUAAGGAAGACCAGUGGCGAAGGCGGGUCUCUGGACAGUUCCUGACGCUGAGGCACGAAGGCCAGGGGAGCAAACGGG
Molecule: ribosomal RNA, 253 nt
Filed under: uncultured bacterium
Lineage: Bacteria
Description: partial 16S ribosomal RNA
Rfam family: Bacterial small subunit ribosomal RNA
Source: RNAcentral